This 594-nucleotide ribosomal RNA is filed under the name Pseudomonas sp. EP_S_7. RNAcentral describes it as "bacterial SSU rRNA". It matches the Rfam family "Bacterial small subunit ribosomal RNA", at positions 37 to 627 of the family's 1533-position model. Lineage: Bacteria; Pseudomonadati; Pseudomonadota; Gammaproteobacteria; Pseudomonadales; Pseudomonadaceae. The record is from RNAcentral.
UGGCGGCAGGCCUACACAUGCAAGUCGAGCGGAUGACGGGAGCUUGCUCCUUGAUUCAGCGGCGGACGGGUGAGUAAUGCCUAGGAAUCUGCCUGGUAGUGGGGGACAACGUUUCGAAAGGAACGCUAAUACCGCAUACGUCCUACGGGAGAAAGCAGGGGACCUUCGGGCCUUGCGCUAUCAGAUGAGCCUAGGUCGGAUUAGCUAGUUGGUGGGGUAAUGGCUCACCAAGGCGACGAUCCGUAACUGGUCUGAGAGGAUGAUCAGUCACACUGGAACUGAGACACGGUCCAGACUCCUACGGGAGGCAGCAGUGGGGAAUAUUGGACAAUGGGCGAAAGCCUGAUCCAGCCAUGCCGCGUGUGUGAAGAAGGUCUUCGGAUUGUAAAGCACUUUAAGUUGGGAGGAAGGGCAGUAAGCUAAUACCUUGCUGUUUUGACGUUACCGACAGAAUAAGCACCGGCUAACUCUGUGCCAGCAGCCGCGGUAAUACAGAGGGUGCAAGCGUUAAUCGGAAUUACUGGGCGUAAAGCGCGCGUAGGUGGUUUGUUAAGUUGGAUGUGAAAGCCCCGGGCUCAACCUGGGAACUGCAUC